RNAcentral lists this long non-coding RNA (1650 nucleotides) under Arabidopsis thaliana (thale cress). Its description in RNAcentral is "long non-coding RNA (ATHA_LNC000128)". The record is from RNAcentral. Lineage: Eukaryota; Viridiplantae; Streptophyta; Magnoliopsida; Brassicales; Brassicaceae.
UUUUUUUAAUUCAAUAACAAGUUGUUUAAUUAAUUAAGACAACAAAAGUCAUGACAGCUAACAUUGAGCCCAACGAUGAUAAUUGAUACCUUCGAGAUUUUUGAUUAGUUUUCUCUUGUUUUGUUUCAUAAAAUAUAUUGAAAUGACUAUUUAAUUAGAUGGUAUCAAAUUUGUUUAAUCUUUAUUUAAAUAAAAAUUCAUAUCGAAUUUGUAUAAUUUUCUUACUUUUGUCUGCCCCGUUAGAUUGUUUAUUUCGACUUCUUUAUUUUAUGAUCUUUGCUCUUCCUCUUCCCAACUUUGCUGCUCAAUAACUUUAGUAAUGGUUUGAGCAGGGCUUACCUGGAAAAAAACAAAAAAUGUCAUACGACCAGUUUUAAAUUGAUUUUCAAAGGUUUUAAAAAAAGUAUUAUUACAAAAAGUAUUAGAAAAUAGAUACUAUCACAAAUUUUCCAAAAACAUUUAAGCCCAAAAUUAACUAUGAGAUUCGGGGAAAUCAUGUUUGAUUCGAACCCGAAUCAAUACUACUCAAAGAAAGAGACAGAAACUUCUUUUUCUUUUGCCACUGGACUUUGACGAUUUGGUUAUAACAAAAAUAAUAAUUACCUUGAAGAUAGAAAAGAAUCAAACCCUUUAACAAAAAAAAAGAAGAUAGAAAAAAAUUGAUUUCAUUAGCUGUAUCAAAUUCAGAUCAUUGAUGGAAGAUGUGAAAAGUCAUAACAGCUAACAUUGAGCCGAUGAUGACACCUCUGAAGAUUAAUCAUUAAAAUAUAAAAUCACGCGGUUUGUAUCAGAAAAUUUUGAUAUGACGAAGUUUUCAAAAACAAAUAUACUGAAGGAUUCUCUCUAGCUAUGUGACAUGGUGGCCACCUUAGAAAAAAUAUACGAGUUCAGUUUGAAAGUUUCAACAUAUCAAUUCGAAAAAAAUGCAAAAGAAAACAAAAAUCCCACUGAUUUCGUUUUCACCUAAAAAAUUUGAUAAAUUUUUAUUUAGUUUUAAUAUUUAUGUCUAAGUUAAGCUCUUCAAUUUGUAUCCGUUGUGUUAUGCAAUAUCAAUGAAACCAAACCGGUGCGUGACACGAGUAAUCGCGUAAUGUAGUUCUUCGGGCAGAAGGCAGUACUGAAUUGAUUACACGGACAUGGUAAUGGUUGUUCUUUCUCCUUGGUUUGACAAUGUUUAGAUGAAUCUUCUUCUUAUGCUUCUUGGCUCAUUCCUUGACUUUACAUUUCUCAGUUCUCAUAUAACUUCUCUAUAAUGCUGUUUAACUACGAUGGCCGGUCCAAUGAGAAGAGUUUGAAUGGUCCAAGCAAGCCAUUCAUGUGAACAUUCUGAAACAAAUAAAUUGGUUAGUGGCUACUUACCUAAGCUGGAACGCCAAUCUUCUUCCUAGUAGGAGUUUUUGAUGUAGUGAAUAUCGAAUGUUUUAGUGGAGCCACUUCCCAGAUCUUCAUAGUAUUCCAAUUCUCUUUUGUCCAGUUAAAGCCAUUGUUAGCUCCUUGAAGGUGAUUUAGCCGUGUAGAUCCCAAAUUUUUGUGGUAGCCAAGCAUAAGUUGAAAGAAUAUGCGGAAUUGUAUUAAAGAUUAAGAGAGUUAUGAAGAACAAGAGAGUUUGUAUGUGAGAGAAUAUGAGACCAAAUCAUGUUGAUAGAAUUA